CUUUCCGCCAGAGAACUACAAGUGAAAAACUUGAAACUCAAAGGACUUGGCGGUGUCCCAUAUCGGCCUAGAGGAGCCUGUCCUAUAAUCGAUACUCCCCGUUCCACCCAACCCUCACUAGCACCAAACAGCCUAUAUACCGCCGUCGACAGUCUACCCCAUGAGGGUCCAACAGUAGACAUAAUAGCCUAUACGCUAACACGUCAGGUCAAGGUGUAGCAAAUGUGAUGGAAGAGAUUGGCUACAUUUUUUAUUUUAAAAAAUACGAAAGGCACUAUGAAACCCUGCAUGAAGGUGAAUUUAGCAGUAAAAUAGAUAAGUGUGUCU
Molecule: ribosomal RNA, 327 nt
Filed under: Atlantolacerta andreanskyi
Lineage: Eukaryota; Metazoa; Chordata; Lepidosauria; Squamata; Lacertidae
Description: partial 12S ribosomal RNA
Rfam family: Bacterial small subunit ribosomal RNA
Source: RNAcentral